Long non-coding RNA from Microtus oregoni (creeping vole), 725 nucleotides. RefSeq lists it as uncharacterized. The record is from RefSeq and is a predicted model, not a curated record. NCBI's taxonomy places the organism in Eukaryota, Metazoa, Chordata, Mammalia, Rodentia, Cricetidae. The transcript has 4 exons.
UCGGCUCCCACCCGGGCCCGGAGUCCUGCUGGGUCCUAGCGCUCGCCGUCCGGGCCGCGGCCCGCUCUGCAGCCUGCACGUACUGUGGGGCGGCCGGGGAGGGGGAGCCCCGGGAAAGCACUAGUGGGAAAGCCGAGCCGCCGUGGGUGCGGAGAAAAACGAGUUCAGUGCCAAAGCCUGGGUGUGCAAAGAAAGACGCUGGCUUCAGCCGAACUCCCAGAAGGCAGAUGCUAGAAUCUGCAGCCCGGGUGUAAAGCACAAACGUGGCCGGGGAGGUUUGCUCCGUGCACCUGUGGUAUAGAGUGCGCUCACAGAAGGUACUUCUGUGACCUUUAUCGUAUCUCCAAUAAAAACCACAUAAUUCCCAGCUUUUGAAGAAGGCAAUGGAGGGCCAGGUAAGGACCCAUCCGAAGCCACCCAGCUGCUGAGCAGCGCAGCUGGAAUGCUGGUGUCAAGCCUCCCACACUUUGAGCAAGUCCUAUUCUGGCAAGCAGACAUCUGCCCCCAUCAACUACUUCUCUGCAGAUGCUGUGGGAAUGCAGGAGAGCGGAGAGAAAGUCCUCUGGAAUGUUCUGCUGGAGAGAGCACUCAAGCAUGGCCAGGCUGUGGAGGGCCAGAAAGGUGAGACCAUCUAAGGGAGACACCGUCACAUGAAGAAUUGCUGUACAUCCUAAGCCUGGGUCCCUUGAGCAUUGAAGGGUCGACUCCGGAAAAUGGCCAGUUUG